GAUGGGUGUGCGUCUGAUUAGGUAGUUGGUGGGGUAAAGGCUCACCAAGCCAACGAUCAGUAGCUGAUGUGAGAGCAUGAUCAGCCACACGGGCACUGAGACACGGGCCCGACUCCUACGGGAGGCAGCAGUAAGGAAUAUUGGACAAUGGGCGCAAGCCUGAUCCAGCCAUGCCGCGUGGAGGACUAAGGUCCUCUGGAUUGUAAACUUCUUUUAUAUGGGGCGAAAAAAGGCGAAUCUUCGUCACUUGACGGUACCAUAUGAAUAAGCACCGGCUAACUCCGUGCCAGCAGCCGCGGUAAUACGGAGGGUGCAAGCGUUAUCCGGAUUCACUGGGUUUAAAGGGUGCGUAGGCGGGUAUGUAAGUCAGUGGUGAAAUCUCGGGGCUUAACUCCGAAACUGCCAUUGAUACUAUAUAUCUUGAAUAUUGUUGAGGUUUGCGGAAUAUGUCAUGUAGCGGUGAAAUGCAUAGAUAUGACAUAGAACACCUAUUGCGAAGGCAGCAGGCUAAACAUAUAUUGACGCUGAGGCACGAAAGCGUGGGGAUCAAACAGGAUUAGAU
This 562-nucleotide ribosomal RNA is filed under the name uncultured bacterium. RNAcentral describes it as "bacterial SSU rRNA". It matches the Rfam family "Bacterial small subunit ribosomal RNA", at positions 224 to 783 of the family's 1533-position model. The record is from RNAcentral.